RNAcentral lists this transfer RNA (72 nucleotides) under Marmota monax (woodchuck). It matches the Rfam family "tRNA". Rfam says of the family: Transfer RNA (tRNA) molecules are approximately 80 nucleotides in length. Their secondary structure includes four short double-helical elements and three loops (D, anti-codon, and T loops). The record is from Rfam by way of RNAcentral. Lineage: Eukaryota; Metazoa; Chordata; Mammalia; Rodentia; Sciuridae.
AAGGAUAUAAUUUAGUGGUAGAAUAAUUGCCUAGCAUGCACAAGAUCCUGGGUGUGAUCCCCAGUAUCACUC